RNAcentral lists this ribosomal RNA (301 nucleotides) under uncultured bacterium. RNAcentral's name for it is "partial 16S ribosomal RNA". It matches the Rfam family "Bacterial small subunit ribosomal RNA", at positions 509 to 808 of the family's 1533-position model. The record is from RNAcentral.
CAGUCGCGCGGGAACACAUAAGAUGCAAGCGUUAUCCGGAAUGAUUGGGCGUGAAGCAUCUGUAGGUUGCUUUUCAAGUCUGCAGUCAAAUCCCAGGGCUCAACCCUGGACAGGUGGUGGAAAUUACCAAGCUGGAGUACGGUAGGGGUAGAGGGAAUUUCUGGUGGAGUGGUGGAAUGCGUUGAGAUCAUAAAGAACAACAAUGGCGAAAGCACUCUGCUGGGCCGACAUUGACACUGAGAGAUGAAAGCAAGGGGAGAAAAUUGGGUUAGAUACCCCCGUAGUCCCUGUCUCUUAUACA